Molecule: ribosomal RNA, 169 nt
Filed under: uncultured bacterium
Lineage: Bacteria
Description: partial 16S ribosomal RNA
Rfam family: Bacterial small subunit ribosomal RNA
Source: RNAcentral
CCUACGGGAGGCAGCAGUGGGGAAUAUUGGACAAUGGGGGCAACCCGGAUCCAGCCAUGCCGCGUGAGUGAAGAAGGCCUUAGGGUUGUAAAGCUCUUUCAGCGGGGAAGAUGAUGACGGUACCCGCAGAAGAAGCCCCGGCUAACUCCGUGCCAGCAGCCGCGGUAAU